This 319-nucleotide long non-coding RNA is filed under the name Bos indicus x Bos taurus (hybrid cattle). RNAcentral's name for it is "lncRNA (ENSBIXG00005004617.1)". The record is from RNAcentral. Lineage: Eukaryota; Metazoa; Chordata; Mammalia; Artiodactyla; Bovidae.
GGGGUGACAAAGCAGAGUGGUGAUCAGAGGUGUCCUUUCACAUUUCCCAACAGAACCCAACCAACAGCUUUGGUGCCUGAAGAACUCUGGGUCAUCAAAGAUGGUGCAGAAACAGGAUCAGAGGCCGGGGAGACCCAACAAAGACCUCAGUGAACUGGAGAACUCAACAAGCCCUGGGGACAUGGAGAUGCCGAUUUGAACAAAGGAGACGAUGGGUAUGAUCUCUGAACUCUGGUUUGGUGAUUCAAGAAACAAGAGAACCUCUGAGUCCAACUCCUCCUACUCCCAAGCAGGAAGGUGGGAGCAUACACGGUCUGCU